RNAcentral lists this ribosomal RNA (253 nucleotides) under uncultured bacterium. RNAcentral's name for it is "partial 16S ribosomal RNA". It matches the Rfam family "Bacterial small subunit ribosomal RNA", at positions 524 to 776 of the family's 1533-position model. The record is from RNAcentral.
UACAGAGGGUGCGAGCGUUGUUCGGAAUUAUUGGGCGUAAAGGGCGCGUAGGCGGUGCGGUAAGUCACCUGUGAAAUCUCCUGGCUCAACUGGGAGCUUGCAGGCGAAACUGCCGUGCUGGAGUGUGGGAGAGGUGCGUGGAAUUCCUGGUGUAGCGGUGAAAUGCGUAGAUAUCAGGAGGAACACCUGUGGCGAAAGCGGCGCACUGGACCGGUAUUGACGCUGAGGCGCGAAAGCCAGGGGAGCAAACGGG